GUCCGUUACUUAUUUGUCUACAAAUCAGUGGCGGAUAGUGGCGAAAGGGUUAGUAAUAGAUAGGUAACGUACCCCGUGCUUCGGAAUAGCGUCGGUUGCUUCGGCAACCUACCGAAAGGGGCGGUAAAACCGGAUAAUAUCAUAAGUUGACAGGCUUAUGAUCAAAGAUUUAUCGGCGCAGGAGCGGCCUAUCUCCUAUCAGCUUGUUGGUGAGGUAAAAGCUCACCAAGGCAGCGACGGGUAGCGGGACUGAGAGGUUGGCCCGCAACAUCGGGACUGAGACACUGCCCGGACCUCCACGGAGGGCUGCAGUAACGAAUAUUGCGCAAUGGGCGAAAGCCUGACGCAGCGACGCCGCGUGUAGGAGGAAGUCUUUCGGGAUGUAAACUACUGUCAGGGCUAAGAAAGUGCACUUCGGUGCAUUGAUCUAUCCCAGAGGAAGUCACGGCUAACUUCGUGCCAGCAGCCGCGGUAAGACGAAGGUGGCAAGCGUUGUUCGGUGUUACUGGGCUUAAAG
RNAcentral lists this ribosomal RNA (517 nucleotides) under uncultured bacterium. RNAcentral describes it as "bacterial SSU rRNA". It matches the Rfam family "Bacterial small subunit ribosomal RNA", at positions 64 to 565 of the family's 1533-position model. The record is from RNAcentral.